This 615-nucleotide unclassified non-coding RNA is filed under the name uncultured bacterium. Its description in RNAcentral is "partial 16S-23S ribosomal RNA intergenic spacer". The stretch from base 476 to 615 matches the Rfam family "Bacterial large subunit ribosomal RNA", at positions 1 to 139 of the family's 2925-position model. The record is from RNAcentral.
UAGUGAUUUGCGGNUGGAUCACCUCCUUACCAAAAGCGACGUUGUCUUGUUGACGAGAGUCAAUGAGUGUUCACACAGAUUGUAUGAUUGAUUAGUUUAAGAGAUUUAUGUGUCCCGUUCGUCUAGAGGCCUAGGACACCGCCCUUUCACGGCGGUAACAGGGGUUCAAAUCCCCUACGGGAUACCACAUUUAAGUGUUUUUGCGAAAGCGAAGAAUAUUUAAAUGUGGUUUGCAUAAACCAUUGCUCUUUAACAAUUUGGAAAGCUGAUAAAGUUCAUUGAACAUCUGUGAUGAGAUGUUCAAUACCGAGUUAUCACGUAAGUGAUAAUUCAAGCAAACAAACAUGAUGAUGCAGUAAUGCAUUAUCGCUAAGUGUAAAAACUUGGCACAACUUGUUCGCAAGUGUCUUGUGUAAUAUCUAGGCAAAUGACGUUAAAACGUCAUUAACAAUAGAACACUGUUUAGGUGUUGUAUGGUUAAGUGAAUAAGCGUGCACGGUGGAUGCCUUGGCAGUCAGAGGCGAUGAAGGACGUGGAAGUCUGCGAAAAGCGUGGGGGAGUUGACAACAAGCGUUCUUNNNCGGGAUGUCCGAAUGGGGAAACCCGGAAUCGAAU